ACAGAAGCUGUAGAAGGCGCCAUCCUGCCUGUCACAGGAGGGCCACUGGACUGAGAGGACCGGAGCUGACUGGGGAUCAUUCAAAGCCAAAAGCCAACAGAGCCCCCAUGGAGAAGUGGGGGAUGCUCAGAUGCUGCUAUGGAGCCCUGAGAAGUGAAAUGGACCCAAGCCCUUGCCCAGGAUAGAGCGCUCCAAGUGCGUCCUCCGGGGACCCUUUUAACCAGUGCAUUGUUCACCUCUCACUGUUUCUUCCCAACAGAGCUAAGAGACUUCUAGAGCUUCUUGUGAUAGUCAGCGAUAGCCCUGGACGUUUUUGCAGAAGGGGUUUGUUGGGUGGCAGUGGAACACAGGCAGUGGACCCCUUUACUCUACUGUUCCAGAACACAGAAGCCUUUCAUCUGUGAGUCUUCAGCUCUUCCCAUUGCUCAAGAUGCUUGCACCUGUGAUGCUUCUUUUCUCUGCUCAGGUCACAAUAUGUGGAGCUGACAAGGUUCCCCUAUUUUCAGUGACAAUGGUGGAAUGUGGAGGUGAAGUUGACACCUUCGUGGCUGCAGAUUUUCCUUAGCAGAGCUGUGGAGUGUGACAAUGGUGUUUGUGUCUAAACUAUCAAACGCCAUUAUCACACUAAAUAGCUACUACUAGGCAAUCCUUCCCUCGAUAAAUGUCCUGGCAUCGUUUGCUUUGAGCAAGAAGGUUCAUCUAAUUGUUCCCAAUCUUGUGUACUUACUGAAUAAAGUCUGGUUCUCUUGCACUCAUAACCAA
Long non-coding RNA from Chlorocebus sabaeus (green monkey), 762 nucleotides. RefSeq lists it as uncharacterized. NCBI's taxonomy places the organism in Eukaryota, Metazoa, Chordata, Mammalia, Primates, Cercopithecidae. The record is from RefSeq and is a predicted model, not a curated record.